UGUGUGAGCUUUUUAUAUAUUAUGGAGAUUAACCCCUUAUUGGAUAUAUGAUUUUCAACUAUUUUCUCCCAGUUGGUGGGUUGUUUUUUCAUUUUGAUCUUGGUUUCCUUUGCCUUCCAGAAGCCCUUUAGUCUGAUGAAGUCCCAGUUGUUUAUUUUUCUUUUUUUACCCUUGUCUGAGUAGACAAGAUAUUCAAAAAUAUCCUUUUAAGUCUGAUAUCAAAGAGUGUACUACCCAUAUUCUCUUCCAGAAAUUUUAUGGUUUCAGGUCUUACCUUCAAGUCUGUGGUCCAUUUUGAGUCUAUUUUUGUGCAUGGGGAAAGAUAAUGGUCUACUUUCAUUCUUUUGUGUGUGGCUGUCCAGUUUUCCCAGCACCAUUUAUUAAAGAGGCUUUCCUUACUCCAGUGUAUGUUCUUGGCUCCUUUGUCAAAGAUUGGUUGUCCAUAGAUGUGUGGUUUUAUUUCUGUGCUUUCAGUUUGGUUCCAUUGAUCUGUGUGCCUGUUCUUGUACCAGUACCAAGCUGUUUUGAUUACUAUACCUUUGUAGUAUAUUUUGAAGUCAGGGAUUUCCCUGCCACCAGCUUUGUUCUUGUUUUUCAGUCUUGCUUUGGCUAUUUGGGGUCUUUUGUUGCCCCAGAUGAAUUUUAUGAUUCUUUGUUCUAUUUCUGUGAAGAAUGUCAUUGGAAUUCUGAUUGGGAUUGCAUUGAAUCUGUAGAUUGCUUUAGGUAGUAUGGACAUUUGAACUAUGUUUAUUCUUCCAAUCCAUGUGCAUGGAAUAUCUUUCAAUUUCUUUAUGUCAUUAUCGAUUUCUUCCAGUAAUGUCUUAUAGUUUUCUUUGUAUAGGUCUUUCACCUCCUUAGUUAAAUUUAUUCCUAGAUAUUUUAUUAUUUUUGCUGCAAUUGUAAAUGAAAUUGUAUUCUUGAGUUCUUGUUCUGUUAGUUCAUUAUUUGAGUAUGGAAAUGCUACUGAUUUUUGUAAGUUGACUUUAUACCCUGCAAUUUUGCUGUAGUUGUUGAUUAUUUCUAAUAGUUUUCCGAUGGAUUCUUUAGGGUUUUCUAUAUAUAAAAUCAUGUCAUCUGCAAACAACGAGAGUUUCACUUCUUCAGUGCCUAUUUGGAUUUCUUUUAUUUCUUUUUCUUGCCUAAUUGCUCUGGCCAAAACCUCUAGUACUAUGUUGAAUAAGAGUGGUGAGAGUAGGCACCCUUGUCUUGUUCCUGUUCUCAGAGUGAUGGCUUUCAGUUUUUCCCCAUUGAGUAUGAUUUUGGCUGUGGGCUUGUCAUAUAUGGCCUUUAUUAUAUUGAGGUACUUUCCGUCUACAUGCAUUUUAUUGAGAGUUUUUAUCAUGCAUGGAUGUUGGAUCUUGUCAAAUGCUUUGUCUGCAUCUAUGGAGCUUAUCAUGUGGUUUUUGUUCCUCAUUUUGUUACUGUGGUGAAUCGCAUUGAUGGAUUUGCAGAUGUUGAACCAUCCUUGUGUCCCUGGUAUGAAUCCCACUUGAUCAUGGUGUAUGAUCUUUUUAAUGUAUUGCUGUAUUCAGUUUGCCAAUAUUUUGUUCAGGAUUUUUGCAUCUAUAUUCAUCAGUGAUAUUGGCCUGUAAUUUUCUUUCUUUAUGUUGUCCUUAUCUGGCUUUGGUAUCAGGGUGAUGUUGGCCUUGUAGAAUGUGUUAAGAAUAUUUCCAUCUUCCUCUAUUUUUUGGAAUAGUUUGAGAAGAAUGGGUAAUAAAUCUUCUUGAAAUGUUUGGUAGAAUUCUCCUGAGAAGCCAUCUGGUCAUGGACUUUUAUUUUGGGGGAGGUUUUUGAUAACUGCUUUAAUCUCUUUACUUGUGAUUGGUCUGUUCAGAUACUCUAUUUUUUCUUCAUUCAGUCUUGGGAGGGUGUAAGAGUCUAAGAAUUUAUCCAUCUCUUCUAGAUUGUCCAGUUUGUUGGUGCAUAGUUUUUCAUAAUGUUCUCUUAUAAUCUUUUGUAUUUCAGUAGUACCCAUUGUAAUUUCUUCCCUUUCAUUUCUAAUUUUAUUUUUUUGAGUCUUCUCUCUUUUUUUCUUAGUGAGCAUGGCUAAGGGUUUGUCAAUUUUGUUUAUCUUCUCAAAGAACCAGCUUCUUGUUUCAUUGAUACUUUCUACAGUCUUUUUUGUUUCAAUUUCAUUUAUUUCUGCUCUAAUUUUUAUUAUUUACUUCUUUCUACUGAGUCUGGGCUUUGUUUGUUCUUCUUUUUCUAAUUCUGUUAGGUGUAGUUUAAGAUUGUUUAUUUGAGCUUUUUCUUGUAUAUUAACAUAGGCCUGUAUUGCUAUAAAUUGCCCUCUUAGGACUACUUUUGCUGCGUCCUAUAUGAGUAGGUAUGGUGUUUUCAUUCUCGUUUGUCUCCAAAUAAUUUUUUAUUUCUCCUUUUAUUUCUUUGACAACCCAUUGGUUGUUUAGUAGCAUGUUGUUUAGUCUCCACAUUUUUGUUCCUUUCUCUGCUAUUUUCUUGUAGUUGAUUUCUAGUAUCAUAGCAUUAUGCUUAGAGGAGAUAGUAGAUAUGAUUUCAAUCUUCUUAAAUUUAUUGAGGUUUUCCUUGUUUCCCAAUAUAUGUUCUAUCCUUGAGAAUGUUCCAUGUGCACUUGAGAAGAAUGUAUACUCUGCUGUUUUUGGAUGGAAUACUCUAUCCAAAGUCUUUAUUCUAGAGCUAGUUUAAUCUUUAUUCUAGGGCUAGUUUAACUCUCACUUAUAUAUCUAUUAAGUUCAUCUGGUCUAGUUUUUCAUUUACUUCCACUAUCUCCUUGUUGACUUUUUGUUUGGAUGAUAUAUCCAUUGAAUUAAGUGGGGUGUUGAGGUCCCCCACUAUUAUUGUGUUGUUGGUAAUAUUUCAUUUUAUGUUUGUUAAUAAUUGCUUUAUGUACUUUGGUGCUCCUGUGUUGGGUGCAUAUAUGUUUAUAAGUGUUAUGUCUUCUUGCUGGAGAGUCCCUUUUAUCAUUAAAUGCUUCCCCUCUGUGUCUCUCUUUACGUUUUAUCACGAAGUCUACUUUGUCUGAUAUAAGUAUGGCAACAUCUGCAUUCUUUUGUUUGCCAUUAGCUUGGAGUAGUGUCUUCUAUCCCUUCACUCUGAGCUGAUGUUUGUCUUUAGAGCUGAGAUGUGUUUCCUGGAGGAAGCACAUUGUUGGGUCUUGUUCUUUAAUCCAUCCUGCCACUCUGUGUCUUUUGAUUGGAAAAUUUAGUCCAUUUAAAUUUAAGGUGAUUAUUGAUAUAAUCACUUAAUACUUAAUACUGCCAUCUUAUUGCAUGUUUUCCAGUUCUUCUGCAUAUCCUUUUUUCUUGUCCCAUGUAUAUUGGGCUACCGAUUUGAUUAGGUAGUUUUCUAUGUUGGUUUUCUUCAUUUUCUCCUUGUUUAUCAUAUAUGUCUCUGUUCUAAUUAUUUGUUUAGUGGUUACCAUUAGGUUCGUAUAAAAAGUCUCGAAGAUGAGAAAGUCCAUUUUCUGAUUGCCUCCUAUUUCCUUAGACUAUACUGAUUCCAUCCCUCUCCUCUUCCUCUUCUAAUUUAUUUUUUGUCACAUCUUAUUCCAUCUUGUGUUGUGAGUUUGUGGUUAAGGUGAUGAUGUAAUUUUUAUUUUGGUGUUUUCCUUUUCUUCAUUCUUGAUGUAAGAAUUAAGUGUUUACCAACCUGAUCUGAUAGACAGCUGCCAAUUUCUGAUUGUUGCAUACCUCUUCAUCUCCUUUCUCAGGGCUCUGUAACCCUUUUCCUGUUUUCUUUUUUCUACUUGCAGGUGUGAGAGCCUUCUUGAGGAUUUCUUGUAGUGGGGGGUCUUGUGGUGAUGAACUCCCUUAGCUUUUGUUUAUCUGGGGAAGUUUUUAUUUCUCCAUCAUUUCUGAAGGAGAUUUUCACUGGAUAGAGAAUUCUUGGCUGGAAGUUUUUGCCUUUCAGGAUUUUGAACAUAUCAUUCCACUCUCUCCUAGCCUGUAAGGUUUCUGCUGAGAAAUCCUGUGAAAGCCUGACAGGGAUUCCUUUGUAAGUUAUUUUCUCCUGCUUUGCUGCCCUUAAUAUUUUUUCUUUGUCAUUGAGUUUUGCCAGUUUUAUUACUAUAUGCCUUGCAGUAGGUCUUUUUACAAUAACAUAGUUGGGAGUUCUGUUAGCCUCUUUUACGUGUAUUUCCAUCUCCUUUCCCAGGUUUGGGAAAUUCCCCACUAUUGUUUCUUUGAACAAGCUUUCUGCUCCAUUCUCCUUUUCUUCCCCCUCUUGAAUACCUUUAAUCCUUAUGUUGCAUUUCCUAAUUGAGUCAGAUAUUUCUCUGAGAGCCUCUUUAUUUCUUUUUAUUCUUAGUUCUCUCUUCUCCUCCCUCUGAAGCAUUUCUAUAGUAUUGUCUUCUAAAUUGUUAAUUUGGCCUUCCAUAUUGUCAGUUUUGUUGUUUAGGGAGUCCAGAUUUUUAAAAUCUCAUCCAUUAUGUUUUUCAUCUCCAACAAUUCUGAUUGGUUCUUCUUUAAAGUUUAAAUCUCUUUUGUGAAGAAGCUCCUGAAUUCAUUAAUUUGUCUUUCUGUGUUUUCUUGUAACUCAUUGAGUUUUUUUAUGAUAGCUAUUUUGAAUUCUUUCUCAUUUAGGUUAUAUAUUUCUGUGUCUUUGGGAUUGUCUUCUGGGUAUUUGUCAUCUUCCUUCUUGUCUGGAGAUUUAAAAUACUUUUUCCUAUUGCUUGAUGGUGUGGAUUUUUGCCUCCACAUGGCGUUAUUGUCUGGUCGCUGCUGCCAUGUCCCGCCACUUUGUGAGGAUCAGGCGCUGUGUAUUCUGAGUCCAGCACAAUCUGGGCAUCCCCAGCUCUGGCCACUGGCUGCUUUUCUCACUGUGUGAUGCUCUGGCUGAUGGCAGAUCUGGAGCACUGGGCAGGGGGAGGGGUACUCUCCUUCCCCUGUGCUUCCCUCAGCCUCCACUUCUCACUCUGUGUGGAGCUCUGGGUGAUAGCAGGACUGGAGUGCCAGGUGGGGUGAGGAACACUUUCUUAUACCUGCAUGCCCCUCCCAACCAAUGCCUCUCUCUCCGCAUGGUGCUCUGUGCACUCACAGGGCUCCACCUGCCACUGCUUCUCUCUCCGUGUGGUGCUGCCUGCGAUUGUGUGGCUGGAGCACAGGGCUGGCACACCAGGGCAGGAACAGAGUGCCCCUCCCCAGCUGAGCCGCUAGUCUAACUGGCCCAUCUCUCAUUGUGCCACUCUCUGGGUGAACGUGGGGCUGGAGUGUGGGGCUGGUGCAUUGGGCGGGAACAGAGCACCCUCUUCCCAGCUGAGCUGCUCAUUUAACUUCCCCCUCCCUCA
This 5263-nucleotide long non-coding RNA is filed under the name Equus caballus (horse). RNAcentral's name for it is "lncRNA (ENSECAG00000058078.1)". The record is from RNAcentral. Lineage: Eukaryota; Metazoa; Chordata; Mammalia; Perissodactyla; Equidae.